AAAAGAUGCCUGGGGAGCUGGAAAAGGCCGGCUGAGAUAUAGACCCGCAAGUCUAUGACCCAUUAACCUGAUCUGGAUAAUGCCAGCGUAGGGACUGCUGCAAAAGGGUUUG
This 112-nucleotide non-coding RNA is filed under the name Acetonema longum. Its description in RNAcentral is "TPP sequence". It matches the Rfam family "TPP riboswitch aptamer (THI element)". Rfam says of the family: Vitamin B(1) in its active form thiamin pyrophosphate (TPP) is an essential coenzyme that is synthesised by coupling of pyrimidine and thiazole moieties in bacteria. The previously detected thiamin-regulatory element, thi box was extended, resulting in a new, highly conserved RNA secondary structure, the THI element, which is widely distributed in eubacteria and also occurs in some archaea. Lineage: Bacteria; Bacillati; Bacillota; Negativicutes; Acetonemataceae. The record is from RNAcentral. RNAcentral also lists the same sequence under 1 other name.